RNAcentral lists this ribosomal RNA (451 nucleotides) under uncultured bacterium. Its description in RNAcentral is "partial 16S ribosomal RNA". It matches the Rfam family "Bacterial small subunit ribosomal RNA", at positions 28 to 523 of the family's 1533-position model. The record is from RNAcentral.
GAUGAACGCUGGCGGCGUGCCUAAUACAUGCAAGUCGAACGAAGCCUUCGGGCUUAGUGGCGAACGGGUGAGUAACACGUUGGUACCUACCCUCUAGUGGGGAAUAACUGGCCGAAAGGUCGGCUAAUACCGCAUAAUACCGCAAGGUUAAAGCAGCAAUGCGCUAGAGGAGGGGCCUGCGUCCCAUUAGCUUGUUGGUAGUGUAAUGGACUACCAAGGCGGCGAUGAGUAGCUGGAUCGAGAGGUUGACCAGCCACACUGGGACUGAGAUACGGCCCAGACUCCUACGGGAGGCAGCAGUAAGGAAUCUUCCACAAUGGACGAAAGUCUGAUGGAGCAACGCCGCGUGCAGGAUGACGGCCUUCGGGUUGUAAACUGCUUCUAUAUGGGAAGAUUAUGACGGUACCAUAUGAAUAAGGACCGGCUAACUACGUGCCAGCCGCCGCGGUAA